Molecule: ribosomal RNA, 545 nt
Filed under: uncultured bacterium
Lineage: Bacteria
Description: bacterial SSU rRNA
Rfam family: Bacterial small subunit ribosomal RNA
Source: RNAcentral
AGAGUUUGAUCAUGGCUCAGAAUGAACGUUGGCGGCGUGGAUUAGGCAUGCAAGUCGAGCGGUAGGAAGUCCCUCACCCCGGCCCUCUCCCAGAGGGAGAGGAUGAGGUGAGGGGCUUCUGAGAGCGGCGAAAGGGAGAGUAAUACGUAGUUACGUACCCCGAGGACCGGAAUAGCCACGGGAAACUGUGGGUAAUGCCGGAUGAUGUCUUCGGACUAAAGGUGUGAUUCCGCCAUGGGAGCGGACUGCGUUGUACUAGCUUGUUGGUGGGGUAAUGGCCUACCAAGGCAAUGAUGCAUAGCGGGUGUGAGAGCAUGACCCGCCUCACUGGGACUGAGACACUGCCCAGACACCUACGGGUGGCUGCAGUCGAGAAUCUUCGGCAAUGGGCGAAAGCCUGACCGAGCGACGCCGUGUGCGGGAUGAAGGCCUUCGGGUUGUAAACCGCUGUCGUAGAGGAGGAAAUUGAUUGGGGUUCUCCCCAGUCAUUGACCUAUUCUAGGAGGAAGGACGGGCUAAGUUCGUGCCAGCAGCCGCGGUAAUAC